UACGUAGGGUGCGAGCGUUAAUCGGAAUUACUGGGCGUAAAGGGCGCGUAGGCGGCACUGUUAGUCAGGCGUGAAAUUCCUGGGCUCAACCUGGGGACUGCGCUUGAUACGGCAGAGCUUGAGGAUGGAAGAGGGUCGCGGAAUUCCCAGUGUAGAGGUGAAAUUCGUAGAUAUUGGGAAGAACACCGGUGGCGAAGGCGGCGACCUGGUCAAUUACUGACGCUGAGGCGCGACAGCGUGGGGAGCAAACAGG
RNAcentral lists this ribosomal RNA (253 nucleotides) under uncultured bacterium. Its description in RNAcentral is "partial 16S ribosomal RNA". It matches the Rfam family "Bacterial small subunit ribosomal RNA", at positions 524 to 776 of the family's 1533-position model. The record is from RNAcentral.